RNAcentral lists this ribosomal RNA (497 nucleotides) under uncultured bacterium. RNAcentral's name for it is "partial 16S ribosomal RNA". It matches the Rfam family "Bacterial small subunit ribosomal RNA", at positions 28 to 507 of the family's 1533-position model. The record is from RNAcentral.
GACGAACGCUGGCGGCGUGCCUAAUACAUGCAAGUCGAACGCUGAAGAGAGGAGCUUGCUCUUCUUGGAUGAGUUGCGAACGGGUGAGUAACGCGUAGGUAGCCUGCCUUGUAGCGGGGGAUAACUAUUGGAAACGAUAGCUAAUACCGCAUAACAAUGGAUGACACAUGUCAUUUAUUUGAAAGGGGCAAUUGCUCCACUACAAGAUGGACCUGCGUUGUAUUAGCUAGUAGGUGAGGUAAUGGCUCACCUAGGCGACGAUACAUAGCCGACCUGAGAGGGUGAUCGGCCACACUGGGACCGAGACACGGCCCAGGCUCCUACGGGAGGCAGCAGUAGGGAAUCUUCGGCAAUGGGGGCGACCCUGACCGCGCAACGCCGCGUGAGUGAAGAAGGGUGUCGGAUCGUAAAGCUCUGUUGUAAGUCAAGAACGGGUGUGAGAGUGGAAAGUUCACACUGUGACGGUAGCUUACCAGAAAGGGACGGCUAACUACGUG